GGCUUCAUAGCUAAGUGGUAAAGCGCUUAGUUGGGGAAGCUGGUGACCUGGGUUCGAAGCCCCAUUGGGAUCA
Non-coding RNA from Massospora cicadina, 73 nucleotides. The record is from the annotation of a GenBank genome assembly. Lineage: Eukaryota; Fungi; Entomophthoromycota; Entomophthoromycetes; Entomophthorales; Entomophthoraceae.